Symphalangus syndactylus (siamang) is the source of this 680-nucleotide long non-coding RNA. RefSeq lists it as uncharacterized. The record is from RefSeq and is a predicted model, not a curated record. Lineage: Eukaryota; Metazoa; Chordata; Mammalia; Primates; Hylobatidae.
AGAUCACUAGGGCCGCUCAGGGAAAGGGAAGCCAGAAGCCUGGCAUGCCAGCAAAAGGGGAGUGGAAAAAAAUGGAUAAUUAUCAUCAAACCUGAGCCAGAAUAGAAAACGGAAACUUUACCUUGAAGAAGUCAAUGAGAACAUCUUUACCUUCUAGCCAAAUGAUGUUGUGAAGAUAUUGCAGUUCUUACAAAUUGAAGGUCUGCGGCAACCCUGCAUCUAGCAAGUCUAUCAGCACCAUUUUUCCAACAGUAUGUCCUCGCUUCAUAUCUGUCUGUCUACAUUUUGAAUCUCCAAGUUUUCGCUGAUCAUAUCGCCAGCCCGGAAAGAUGAUAUUUCCCAGCUUCCCUUGCCCAUGUGUGUCCACGUGACUAAGUUCUGGCCAAUGGAAUGUCUACAGGUCACAGUGAUUCUGGUGUGAAGCAGAGGAUGGGCCAGAAAGAGAUUCAAAAUGCUACAUCUUCAAAUCACUUCACCUGUCCCGCCAGUAGCCCUUCAGGUCCCUGGCAUCUUCAACUCCUGCUAUCCUCAUGUAGUCAGCCUUGCAUCUGAAAGAAUGGACAGAAACACACACGUGACAAGACAAAGACAAGAGGCCGAGCAAGAUAGCCAAAUGGAAGCCUCCACUGUCCACCCCACCCCACAGAAACACCAAAUUGAAAAACUAUCCAUACAAAAAA